ACGAACGCUGGCGGCGUGCUUAACACAUGCAAGUCGAACGGAAAGGCCCUGCGUUUGUGGGGUGCUCGAGUGGCGAACGGGUGAGUAACACGUGAGUAACCUGCCCUUGACUUUGGGAUAACUUCAGGAAACUGGGGCUAAUACCGGAUAGGAGCUCCUGCUGCAUGGUUGGGGUUGGAAAGUUUCGGCGGCUGGGGUUGGACUCGCGGCUUAUCAGCUGGUUGGUGGGGUAGUGGCUUACGAAGGCUUUGACGGGUAGCCAGCCUGAGAGGGUGACCGGCCACAUUGGGACUGAGAUUCGCCCCAGACACCUACGGUAGGCACAAGUGGGGUAUAUUGCACAAUGGCAGGAAUCCUGAUGGAGCAACGCCGCUUGCGGGAUGACGGCCUUCGGGUUGUAAACCGCUUUCGCCUGUGACGAAGCGUGAGUGACGGUAAUGUGUAAAGAAGCACCGGCUAACUACGUG
RNAcentral lists this ribosomal RNA (467 nucleotides) under uncultured bacterium. RNAcentral describes it as "partial 16S ribosomal RNA". It matches the Rfam family "Bacterial small subunit ribosomal RNA", at positions 29 to 507 of the family's 1533-position model. The record is from RNAcentral.